AGUGGCCCAAGUUGAAAGUUACCGGCGUAAAGAGUGGUUAGGGAAAUAAUAAACUAAAGCCGAACACCCUCUAGGCUGUUAUACGCUUCUGAGGGUACGAAGCCCCACUACGAAAGUGGCUUUAAUACACCUGAACCCACGACAACUAAGGUACAAACUGGGAUUAGAUACCCCACUAUGCUUAGCCAUAAACUUUGAUAUUAACUUACCCCUAAUAUCCGCCAGGGAACUACAAGCGUUA
This 241-nucleotide ribosomal RNA is filed under the name Thaleichthys pacificus (eulachon). RNAcentral describes it as "partial 12S ribosomal RNA". The record is from RNAcentral. Lineage: Eukaryota; Metazoa; Chordata; Actinopteri; Osmeriformes; Osmeridae.